RNAcentral lists this ribosomal RNA (478 nucleotides) under uncultured bacterium. RNAcentral's name for it is "bacterial SSU rRNA". It matches the Rfam family "Bacterial small subunit ribosomal RNA", at positions 28 to 507 of the family's 1533-position model. The record is from RNAcentral.
GAUGAACGCUGGCGGCGUGCUUAACACAUGCAAGUCGAACGGAAGGAUUAAGCGGAAGUUUUCGGAUGGAAGCUUAAUACUUUAGUGGCGGACGGGUGAGUAACGCGUGGGUAACCUGCCGUAUACAGGGGGAUAACACUUAGAAAUAGGUGCUAAUACCGCAUAAGCGCACGGUGUCGCAUGACACAGUGUGAAAAGCCGAGACGGUAUACGAUGGACCCGCGCCUGAUUAGCUAGUUGGUGGGGUAGAGGCCUACCAAGGCGACGAUCAGUAGCCGGCCUGAGAGGGUGACCGGCCACAUUGGGACUGAGACACGGCCCAAACUCCUACGGGAGGCAGCAGUGGGGAAUAUUGCACAAUGGGGGAAACCCUGAUGCAGCGACGCCGCGUGAGUGAAGAAGUAAUUCGUUAUGUAAAGCUCUAUCAGCAGGGAAGAAGAAGACGGUACCUGACUAAGAAGCCCCGGCUAACUACGUG